This 1220-nucleotide ribosomal RNA is filed under the name uncultured fungus. RNAcentral's name for it is "eukaryotic LSU rRNA". The stretch from base 590 to 1220 matches the Rfam family "Eukaryotic large subunit ribosomal RNA", at positions 1 to 649 of the family's 3401-position model. The record is from RNAcentral. Lineage: Eukaryota; Fungi.
AAGUCGUAACAAGGUUUCCGUAGGUGAACCUGCGGAAGGAUCAUUACCGAGCGAGGGUCCCUGCGGCCCGAACCUCCCAUCCCCUGCGAACCCACCACAGUUGCUUUGGCAGGCCGGCAUCGUAGUACCCGCCCCCGCUGACGCCCCCCGGGGGAAGACCCUGGGGGGGGAGGUUUAGUGGGUGUGCCUGUCAGAGGCCCAUGAAAAACCCUAUGUAUCCCAUGUCGUCUGAUCGCGAACGAGGAAUAGCUAAAAAACUUUCAACAACGGAUCUCUUGGUUCCAGCAUCGAUGAAGGACGCAGCGAAAUGCGAUAAGUAAUGUGAAUUGCAGAAUUCAGUGAAUCAUCGAAUCUUUGAACGCACAUUGCGCCCCCCGGUAUUCCGGGGGGCAUGCCUGUUCGAGCGUCAUUAGACACCACUCAGGCCAGUCCUGGAGUUAGGCCCUCGUCCCCCCCCCCCGGGGGGCGUGCCCGAAAGCUAGCGGCGGUGCCAACCGGUCCCCGAGCGCAUUAGAGUAUACAUACAUAUCUUCGCUCCGGAGGCCCCGGGGGCUCCUGCCGGAAAAACGGCCACGCGCCAUAGAAUGAUCGACCUCGGAUCAGGUAGGGAUACCCGCUGAACUUAAGCAUAUCAAUAAGCGGAGGAAAAGAAACCAACAGGGAUUGCCUUAGUAACGGCGAGUGAAGCGGCAACAGCUCAAAUUUGAAAUCUGGUCGCAAGGCCCGAGUUGUAAUUUGUAGAGGAUGCCUCGGGUGCGGCGCCGGCCUAAGUCCCCUGGAACGGGGCGUCAUAGAGGGUGAGAGUCCCGUAUGUGGCCGGCCGCCAACCCCAUGCGAGGCUCCUUCGACGAGUCGAGUUGUUUGGGAAUGCAGCUCAAAAUGGGUGGUAAAUUUCAUCUAAAGCUAAAUACCAGCUGGAGACCGAUAGCGCACAAGUAGAGUGAUCGAAAGAUGAAAAGCACUUUGGAAAGAGAGUCAAAAAGUACGUGAAAUUGUUGAAAGGGAAGCGCUUACAGCCAGACUUGCCCGCGGGUGAUCAGCCGUCCUUCGGGGCGGUGCACUCCCCCGCGAUCAGGCCAGCAUCGAUUUUGGCGGCUGGAUAAAGGCCCCGGGAACGUGACUCCCCUUGGGGAGUGUUAUAGCCCGGGGUGUAAUGCGGCCCGCCGGGAUCGAGGACCGCGCCCUAGGCUAGGAUGCUGGCGUAAUGGCUGCCAGCGACC